GACGCACACGCAUCAGAGAAAAGUGCAGGAAAUGUGGACUAAGCCUUUCGUUUGCCAGGCGCUGUGCUAACACCUCACAGGCAUUGGCUGCUUACUCCGCCAGCAGUUCCGUGGGGCAGAAACUGCUGUGAACCCCGGUUAAUAGACGGGAAAACCGAGCACAGAGAGGGACCCAAUGGAAAGAAGAUCCAGGAGACUGGCGAAUGGAGACCAGUGUGAGCUUUUUAUCGAUAAACUGGACAGCAUGGCCUCCUAUCUGUGGUCAGAGGUUUUACUGCGCUCCACUUUCCUGCCGUGGACCUGGGACAGCCCACCAGGGAAAACACAAACGAGGCAUCUCUCAAGCAGAACCUGCUUCCUGGGUCACAAUUUCUACCUCUGGACCGGCAGCAUGAUCCCCCUGUCCCCCCAGGUUGUCUGCACGAGGCUUUAGAAGAUGCCCUCUCCAGCUGUCGCAUGCAAAGGACUCACCUGGGUAUCUCGUGAAAAUGUAGAUUCUGACGGAGUAGACCUUGGGACUGGGGCCUUGAGAGUCUGCACCAGCCCUGAGUGAUGUCACUGUUGGUUGGCCUAGCAUGUUUGGAAUAGCAAGAUUUACUGGCUUUUGCCUCCAGAAGUUUUCCCACUCGGUUUUGCAUAUGAGGAUGUAGGCAGACAAACUCAAGAACGGAGGCUGGUCAGUAUCUGUAUAGAGCUUUGACUCUUACUUUCGUAAACCGUUCCUGCAGGGCUGCUCUCCCCCAGACUUUGCUCCUUCUUGUCCAUGUCCCUUUCCCUAGCUGGACAACCGGGAAGCGAUGUGUUGAUGCUUGUGUGUGCCACAGUUGUGCCUCAGGUUGUCUUCCACUGUCAUACAACGUAAUUUCUUUUCAUUUUCUUUGAUGUCCCUUUUUCACUGAGAACCUGAUUCAGGAUACCGUGGAUGGUAGCUAAGGGUAACAGCAGGCCUCACAUGUGCACAAAGCUCCUUAAUACCCACAAGACAGUAGGGGUAGAGGCUAUGGGCCAGGGCUCCAGAGUCUGCCCACCUACAUUCAAAUCCUGCCUCUGCUACUUUCUAGCUGGCCGGCCUUGGGCAAGUUACUUAACCUCUCUGUGCUUCCAUUUCAUCAUUUGCACAAUGUGGCUAACGAUGCUUCAUGAGUCGUUGAGAAGAUCGAAUGAGAUAAUGUGUGUGAGGCACUCAGAACGGACCUGACAUAUAGGAGGCCCUCGAUCACAAUCGGUGAUGUUAUAAUUCCUCAAUCCCAUGAGGAAGCCGAGGGAACCCGAGGCUCAAUGAGGAGAAGUGAGUCGCACUCAGGAUUCCACAUCAAGAAUGGUGGCACAAUUGGGACCAGAUCUGACUCCAACUCCAGUGCUCACUGCACCCCCACCAUACUUCCAAAUGCCAAGUUUUAUUACCCUAAGAUUUUAGCACAGAGUGUGGCUGCUUUCCCAGCGUUUGACUGAUCUUUUGUUUCCUUUCCUUCUAAUGGAGCAUUUCCAGCUGGGGUGAUUCAUGGAUCUGGGACCGCAUGGCUCCCAUUAACUUCGAGGAAAGUCAUAAGGCAAAACCCACAUCAAUCAAGCUUCCAAAUUAUUCAUCUAUCUUUACAGGUGACACGUGGAUUAAGACGAACAGGGAGUGAAGUGGGUAUCGUACAAUAACUAUUUAGAUUUAUGAAAAUUGCCUAAGAGCUUAUGCCAAGUCCCCACACUGAACUUUGUUUUGUUUUCACAAGGUUGAACUUUAGGGAUGAGAGAGAGGAUGUCACAAGAGAAUGGCCUUGAAGCUUGAAGUCCGAGGGGCUGGGACUCCCAGCUUCACUACUAGUUAGACUUGUGAUUUUUGAGAAAGGCUUUUAACCUCUUAGAACCUGUUUUCUCGUUCUGUUAUUAUUCAUCCUUACAAUAAACCAAGGAGUUAGUUACUAUCCCCAUUUUACAGAUGUUGAAACUGAGGUACUGAGAAGUUAAGUGACUUGAUGGUGACCAAAAAAUAAAGCAGCCUUCGAACCCCCUAUAUUUGAGUCCAGAAACCUAUGUCCUUUUACCACUCUAGCCCAUAAAUGAAAUGACAAGUCUAAAAACAGCAGGCGCUGUGUAGGAGCUUAAGAAACCUUUACUCAAUCUGAAUCUUGAGGACAAAACUCAUGUCAUAUUAAUCCCUUCUUCUCUAUUGUACCUUUGUACUUAGUAGGUUCUCAAUUAAUAAGAGUUGAGCUGCCUUAUUACCCCUCUGGAAAUGGUUCUGUUUUUAUUUAAUAAUUUUCUUAGAUGAAUUUUAAUAGGCAGACCACAAUGCUUCUUGUACAAUAUCUUCUGGACUGUGAGGCGCGGGCAUUCAUUAUUUUAUGAGACGCAUAUGUCAUGCAUAACACAGCCCUUUUCUUAAACCAACACAACAUGCAAAUAGAAAUUUCAUGUAAAAUCACAUUCAGACAGUCUCAAAGUAGAAACAGAUGUCUGAAAAAUAUGAACGCCAGGCUUAUUAAAUAUUUUAUCAUCA
Long non-coding RNA from Acinonyx jubatus (cheetah), 2491 nucleotides. RefSeq lists it as uncharacterized. NCBI's taxonomy places the organism in Eukaryota, Metazoa, Chordata, Mammalia, Carnivora, Felidae. The record is from RefSeq and is a predicted model, not a curated record. The transcript is spliced from 3 exons.